RNAcentral lists this ribosomal RNA (400 nucleotides) under uncultured bacterium. RNAcentral describes it as "bacterial SSU rRNA". It matches the Rfam family "Bacterial small subunit ribosomal RNA", at positions 356 to 773 of the family's 1533-position model. The record is from RNAcentral.
GGGGAAUAUUGGACAAUGGGCGCAAGCCUGAUCCAGCCAUGCCGCGUGAGUGAUGACGGCCUUAGGGUUGUAAAGCUCUUUCACCCACGACGAUAAUGACGGUAGUGGGAGAAGAAGCCCCGGCUAACUUCGUGCCAGCAGCCGCGGUAAUACGAAGGGGGCUAGCGUUGUUCGGAUUUACUGGGCGUAAAGCGUACGUAGGCGGAUCGUUAAGUCAGAGGUGAAAUCCCGGAGCUCAACUUCGGAAUUGCCUUUGAUACUGGCGGUCUUGAGUUCGGGAGAGGUGAGUGGAACUGCUAGUGUAGAGGUGAAAUUCGUAGAUAUUAGCAAGAACACCAGUGGCGAAGGUGGCUCACUGGCCCGAUACUGACGCUGAGGUACGAAAGCGUGGGGAGCAGAC